RNAcentral lists this long non-coding RNA (313 nucleotides) under Homo sapiens (human). RNAcentral describes it as "non-protein coding lnc-CCDC34-6:1". Lineage: Eukaryota; Metazoa; Chordata; Mammalia; Primates; Hominidae. The record is from RNAcentral.
AGUUGCCUGUCUCAGGGCAAGUUCUAAAAGCCCCCAAAAUAAACAAGUCUAAAAAUGUGUGUUUCUAGGUAGAUUCUUAAGGCAGCCGCUCAAUAUCCUAAGCUCUCCCUUUUUAAGUGUUCUUUCAGUUAUCUUGACUCUAUUAGAAAGAAAGCUUCCAUCAGAUACUCACCAGGACCAAUGAUCUUUAAACCCUGCUAAUCUGUCAUUAGGAAGGGAAAAUGCAUCUGGGGCUGGGAGCAGUUAAUUGGGACCAGGGGCCCAGAACUUGACUGUGGUGGAAAGGGACAAUUAUGGCAGGAACUGAAGUUGG